GGUCCCGUCGUCUAAUGGUUAGGACGUUGCUCUUUCACAGCAAAAACGAGGGUUCAAAUCCCUUCGGGACUA
Molecule: transfer RNA, 72 nt
Filed under: Synechococcus phage S-CREM1
Lineage: Duplodnaviria; Heunggongvirae; Uroviricota; Caudoviricetes; Pantevenvirales; Kyanoviridae
Rfam family: tRNA
About the family: Transfer RNA (tRNA) molecules are approximately 80 nucleotides in length. Their secondary structure includes four short double-helical elements and three loops (D, anti-codon, and T loops).
Source: Rfam by way of RNAcentral